Molecule: ribosomal RNA, 319 nt
Filed under: uncultured eukaryote
Lineage: Eukaryota
Description: partial 18S ribosomal RNA
Rfam family: Eukaryotic small subunit ribosomal RNA
Source: RNAcentral
CCCUUAGAUGUUCUGGGCAUCACGCGCGCUACAAUGGUCUUCGCAAACGGAUGCAUUCUCGAAGGAGAAUGCCAAUCUUGGAAUCUAUGCCUUGGUCGGGACAGUUGCUUGCAAUUUUUCGACUCGAACCAGGAAUUCCUUGUAAUCGUGAUUCAUCACAUCACGAUGAAUACGUCCCUGCCCUUUGUACACACCGCCCGUCGCUCCUACCGAUCGAAGAGUUAGGUGAAUUGUUUUGAUCGAUAAGAUUUGACUAUGGUCAACUCUCGUUGUGAAAUUCUGUGAAUCUGACUGUUUAGAGGAAGGAAAAGUCGUAACA